CUGCUUGACGAUGAAGAGAUGAUGUCAUAUAUUCUUGCCGGACUCGACGAUGACUACGAGCCUGUUGUUUCCAAUCUGGUUGGCAAGGCGGAAGCUGUUUCAGUCGCCGAGAUUUACUCUCAACAUCUGAGCUUCGAAG
Molecule: small nucleolar RNA, 139 nt
Organism: Oryza sativa Japonica Group (Japanese rice)
Lineage: Eukaryota; Viridiplantae; Streptophyta; Magnoliopsida; Poales; Poaceae
Rfam family: Small nucleolar RNA Z247
About the family: Z247 is a member of the C/D class of snoRNA which contain the C (UGAUGA) and D (CUGA) box motifs. Most of the members of the box C/D family function in directing site-specific 2'-O-methylation of substrate RNAs.
Source: Rfam